UUCUGGCAUCGACCUCCCAAACUCAUUCAAAUAUUUCCCUUUUUUUUUUAAAUUUAAUGUUCCCUAUAAUUCAUCUGUCCCAAAAGGUAAUCAAUAGAGGCCGUAAUGAAAAUUUGAGCCAUAUUUUAUGAUCCGCUGCAGGAGAAAGGGCCACAUCAGCAGGACUAGCCUUGGCUUCCAGCAUCAUUUCUGUGUGCAUUCACCUGCUCACUGGCCAGAUUCCCUCCUCCAUGCACCCCAGGCUGCUGACAGGGGCAGGCCCUCCAGGAUAAACUUCCACCCUUUCCUCCAACUUCAAACAGCUGCCGCUGGAUCCACAGUAGAAGAUGUACAUGAGGGGGUAAAGGAAUUUCCUACAGAUUGCAAAGGGCCCUGACCCCAUGGCCCCAGGGAGCCUCCAGACCAUCCCUCAUAUUCUCAGUUCUCAAACAAGUCCUAUGACCCUCUACCAGGUCCAUGGGGAUAUGAUGAUCAUGUAGCCAGAUAUGAAGAAUUACUUAAAUCCAUCAUAGUAAUUCCAUAAUCCCUGGCACUGUCUCUCAGUCAAGCUGGGCUUUAUGCUCCUCUUCUCCCAGACAUGAGGACAGUCACUCAUGGGGAAAGAAGAGGGAUUCCCCUAGGAACUGCCUGAGUCAAGAGCCCUUCAGGGCUCCCACCAUUGACAGUAAAGACCAAAAAAGCACCUUUGGUUUCCCUGUUUCAUGAGCAGCCACACAGUUGCAAAUGAGCUCAGUACUGUCCAAUUCCAGACACUGAACAUUAGCAAGCACAGGAGCAUACUCCAUAGCAUCACUCCAGCAAAACACUCACCUCUUCUCCCUCCUGUGCACUAUCAUCUGGGUCUCAGUCCUACAGAUACAUUCAAGCUUUUGAAUGGUUUGAAAACAAGAAUCUGAAGUCCCAACUUUGUUGAGCACCAAUGGAAACACAAGAAGAGAAACGCUGCAGGAACCUAAAACACAUUCUCACAUCUACCAUAAAAAUCCAUGUCCAGUCACUAAGACUGUACUCCUCCAUAUCUAGUUCCAGGGGAAGCUCAAACAAACAGCUACUUCCCUUCUUCCUUUUGGGCAGAAAUACUACAACUAAUCUCAAAUCUAUCAAUUUCAUUAUAGAAUGUAUUAAUUUAGGAGUCAUGCUGACCUUGCUUGCCCAACUGGGGAGUGGCAAGGAGAGGCAAUCAUGUCUCAGUGCCACCUACACACGCUGCUGUGUGUUUUUCAAUCCCCACUGUAAAUCCUACAGCACUCCAGAGCACCUCAAUCCAUCCUCCCGGCACACAGCUAGCGGGCUUGUUGGUUUUGCACAUGGAUGCAGCCAGGGCUGAAGGAAGGCAAAAGCCUCGCUCGUGUUCCCGGAACCCUUCUCCAUCUCAGAUUCCCAGCAGCAGGUUCCCUGUCCUCCCUUUAAAGGCUGGAGCAUAUUUCAUUGCCUGAAGCUGCCGCAUCUGCAGGGAGCCGGAGGUAACAAAACCGUCUUUGAUUUGGCCAAGGGAAAAAUAUCAGAAGUGAAAGGCCAGAGUGAGGAAUUUAUAACAGCAGCUAAGGCAGCAAAAAUACAAGUGCCUGACCAGAAGCUGCCCUCCUUCUCAGCAUGUCACGUUGUUUAGCUUCCCUUGUAUCUUGAAGGGGCAGGAUAUUGCAGAGAGCCUUGCCAGAACCACCAAUUUCCUACCCACACCAGCAUACUGACACCCUCUCUGGACCCCUGCACAGCACCAACCCACAGGUAUAAGCUGCAAUUCCAGGGAAACCUCUGCUCACCCAGAGGUGCAGGUGGGAAUCUUGUACAAUAUAAUUGCUCAAGACAUUACUUAAAAAAUGAUGUAGCACACCACUGUGCAGAUAUAGUGAUGGUAAUUUACCUCCCAAGAUAGAAAUGCCCUCUGUCAGAUGGACAGACUGAAUCCCCACAACCAGCAGUAGCAAGAGCAACAGCCUAACAUUCCCACCUUUCCUUUCUCAUGGAAACUUGGGAAUCAACCAUCCUUGUUUAAAAAAUAGAACAAAAUAAUCAAACUAAUUGCUCUUUCUACUACAUAAAUUAGGUUACAAACUUGAAAAAUGUGGGACUUAAGGGCUGUGAAUCCAGAGAACAUGGAUAAGCAGCUUCAUGCUUUAAACUCACACUGGAAAGGAGACUGAAAUCCCAAGCAGAACUGGGAAAGCACUGCCUGCCAUCUCUGAAGACCUGUGUCAGCACCAUGCAGAUCCAUCCUCCUGUUUAAUCCAGCUGCCAACGCAGCAGUGAUGGAGAUACCUGCCUGCGAGCUGACGGAAAGCACGCUGUAACAUGGCUGUUGCAGUCACUGCUAACUUGCCCCAGAUUUGAACUGGUGACCCUUACUAAUAUCAUCCAGUCCCUUGAUAUCCUGAGGGAGCGAUCAGCACGUUUUAUUAACCCAGCCAAUUUUGGAAGUGCAUAGGCAGUAUUCUAGUUCCUUGUUACAAUUAUGCAUUACAGGUCCAUUUCACCCAUAUGCCUGUGCUCAAGUGAUGUGCAGCAGAGCUUUCUGCUGUCAUAGCCAUGGCACAAGGAGCCCAGCCUGAGCCAGCCCUGGUGCUCUCAGAGGACAGAACAAACCCAAUCACUUGCAGCAGUGAUAUUCCAGCCUAAAAAUAAGCCCCACAGAUCCCCACAACCAAACCCAUGUUUUUAAAAUUACACGUUUCCACCUAUUGGUCCCUGGACUGAAGUAAUUGCUUUUGCUAGUUCUAAAAGCCAGAGCUGGUUCACUGAAAAAAAAAUAAAAAA
This is a long non-coding RNA of Taeniopygia guttata (zebra finch), 2754 nucleotides long. The record is from Ensembl. NCBI's taxonomy places the organism in Eukaryota, Metazoa, Chordata, Aves, Passeriformes, Estrildidae.